RNAcentral lists this ribosomal RNA (474 nucleotides) under Triticum aestivum (bread wheat). RNAcentral's name for it is "partial small subunit ribosomal RNA". The record is from RNAcentral. Lineage: Eukaryota; Viridiplantae; Streptophyta; Magnoliopsida; Poales; Poaceae.
AUGGCGGUGGUGUUGCGGUAUGUUGGUAAAUGUGGAAGUGCCAUAGAGACGUUAGUUGGCCUUACUCAUGUGAAGGAGACAACUUCCAAGUAUCUCAAGUGUGCGAUUCAUGAUUUAUUUGCAGAAUAUAAGUUAAGUUUCAAGCAAGUUAGAGGGCAAGGAUAUGACGGUGCGAGCAAUAUGCGAGGUGAGUUUAAUGGCUUGCAAUCCUUAAUCAUGAGAGAGAAUAGCACAACAUAUUACGUUCACUGUUUUGCACAUCAACUUCAGUUAGUUGUUGUGGCUGUUGUUCGGAAGCACAAAUGCAUUGGUAAUUUUUUUGAUAUGAUCUCAGUCUUGUUGAAUGUGGUUUCUGGAUCUUCAAAGAGAAAGGACUUGAUUCAAGACAAAUAUAAAGAACAAGUGUGUGAAGCUUUAGGUUGUGGAGUACUAAAAAGUAGGACAGGAUUAAAUCGAGAACUAGCUCUUCAAUGA